RNAcentral lists this unclassified non-coding RNA (357 nucleotides) under fungal sp. RNAcentral's name for it is "partial internal transcribed spacer region". The stretch from base 1 to 46 matches the Rfam family "Eukaryotic small subunit ribosomal RNA", at positions 1786 to 1831 of the family's 1831-position model. Lineage: Eukaryota; Fungi. The record is from RNAcentral.
AAGUCGUAACAAGGUUUCCGUAGGUGAACCUGCGGAAGGAUCAUUAACACGAUCCAACGUUAAACCCCCUGUGAACCUUCAUGUAUGAGUUACAUCCACGUCAUAAACCGGCAAUCUCAAGGGUGUACGGUAGUGCGAGGCAAUUGACCUGGCAUUCCUCUGCUUGUUAGUGUCUGAAAGUGUCACUAGCUAUGUACGGAUGGCGCAGUAACGAUCGCUGGAGGCCGACACGGCCGGCGACCAGGUCACUGGGCUACGGCCCCCCUGAUCACAACCUUUGCAUGAAAACGGGCCUGCGCUGAGGUGCGGCCACCCCUAAUGCUUGAACAACUGUUAACAAUGGAUAUCUUGGUUCUC